CUUUACGGCAGGGGUGGGCGUGGGGCGCCGUCGAGUCCCGCCGGCCCCCGCGCAAGGUUCAGAGCUGACCGGGUUUGUCCCGCCGGAGCGUGGCCUCAGCCAGAGGAGGCAGAGCGGAAGGAAAGGAGGAGGAGGGAAAUCGGGGACGUCGGUCAUCUCCAGGCGCUGGUGUUCUGGGUCACAGUUUGGUAAGAAGAUCCAAGGGCACGAUCAACAGCUCGUGCACUGCCUUGGUGUGGACCCAGAGUUCAAGCACAGACGAAGAUCAGACACUGACUUCACACUUCUGAUAGAUAAAUGAAGAAUUCAGAGCCUGAACCUAAGCUCAAAAUAAGAUGCCAAAAAAGGAAGAAAAGAUCAAAGAGCUUGGAACAGAAUUCCAGCAAGCUGAACCCAGAUUCUUUUCCCUAUAAGCCCUUGCUAUUUGGAUUGGCAGCAAAGCUGAUGGCAUUGAGAAGCUACCCCAGACUCC
Molecule: long non-coding RNA, 472 nt
Organism: Balaenoptera musculus (blue whale)
Lineage: Eukaryota; Metazoa; Chordata; Mammalia; Artiodactyla; Balaenopteridae
Exons: 5
Source: RefSeq, a predicted model, not a curated record